UACGGGGGGGGCAAGCGUUGUUCGGAAUUACUGGGCGUAAAGGGCUCGUAGGCGGCCAACUAAGUCAGACGUGAAAUCCCUCGGCUUAACCGGGGAACUGCGUCUGAUACUGGAUGGCUUGAGAUUGGGAGAGGGAUGCGGAAUUCCUGGUGUAGCGGUGAAAUGCGCAGAUAUCAGGAGGAACACCGGUGGCGAAGGCGGGUCUCUGGGCCGAUAUUGACGCCGAGGAGCGAAAGCCAGGGGAGCAAACGGG
Molecule: ribosomal RNA, 253 nt
Filed under: uncultured bacterium
Lineage: Bacteria
Description: partial 16S ribosomal RNA
Rfam family: Bacterial small subunit ribosomal RNA
Source: RNAcentral